GUAACCUUUAAAUCCAGUCCCGUGAGGCUGGCAAGGGCGACGGUGAAUAACGCAGAUAUAGUUGGGAUGGUUAUGCCCUUCUUUAUGUGCGCACGAAGCUUCUUGUCAGUGAGACAAGAAGCUUUUUUUGU
Molecule: regulatory RNA element, 131 nt
Organism: Brevibacillus laterosporus LMG 15441
Lineage: Bacteria; Bacillati; Bacillota; Bacilli; Caryophanales; Paenibacillaceae
Rfam family: PyrR binding site
About the family: This family represents the PyrR binding site and terminator structure. This RNA structure is found upstream of a variety of genes involved in pyrimidine biosynthesis and transport.
Source: Rfam